UACGAAGGGGGCGAGCGUUGUUCGGAAUUACUGGGCGUAAAGGGCGCGCAGGCGGCGAGUUUUGUCAGGCGUGAAAGCCCCGGGCUCAACCUGGGAACUGCGCUUGAAACGGGCUUGCUGGAGACCGGGAGAGGAGAGUGGAAUUCCCAGUGUAGAGGUGAAAUUCGUAGAUAUUGGGAAGAACACCGGUGGCGAAGGCGGCUCUCUGGACCGGAUCUGACGCUGAGGCGCGAAAGCGUGGGGAGCAAACAGG
RNAcentral lists this ribosomal RNA (253 nucleotides) under uncultured bacterium. Its description in RNAcentral is "partial 16S ribosomal RNA". It matches the Rfam family "Bacterial small subunit ribosomal RNA", at positions 524 to 776 of the family's 1533-position model. The record is from RNAcentral. RNAcentral also lists the same sequence under 1 other name.